AAGACUAUAGACCUGCGGAGUACCUGCGGAAGGAUCAUUAUCGAGUUUACAACUCCCAAACCAUUGUGAAUCUUACCUUUUCGUUGCUUCGGCGGGAUCGCCCCGGGCGCUUCGGUGCCCCGGAUUCAGGCGCCCGCCGGGGGACCUAAACUCUUGUAUUAUAGUGGAUUUCUGAGUGGAUUACACAAAUAAUCAAAACUUUUAACAACGGAUCUCU
RNAcentral lists this unclassified non-coding RNA (217 nucleotides) under soil metagenome. RNAcentral describes it as "partial contains 5.8S ribosomal RNA, internal transcribed spacer 2, and large subunit ribosomal RNA". The record is from RNAcentral.